RNAcentral lists this ribosomal RNA (106 nucleotides) under Acanthosepion pharaonis. The record is from RNAcentral. Lineage: Eukaryota; Metazoa; Mollusca; Cephalopoda; Sepiida; Sepiidae.
CGGCAACAUCACGUUGAAACACCGGUUCUGGUACAAUCACCGAAGUUAAGCAACGUCGAGCUUGGUAAGCACCUAAAUGGGUGACCGCUUGAGAAUACCAGGUGUU